This is a non-coding RNA of Ictidomys tridecemlineatus (thirteen-lined ground squirrel), 810 nucleotides long. Lineage: Eukaryota; Metazoa; Chordata; Mammalia; Rodentia; Sciuridae. The record is from RefSeq and is a predicted model, not a curated record.
GGGCACAGUCCAAAGCAAUUAUGUCUGAUAAAUGAUGCUUAAACUGGUAAAUAAACCAACUAGUUAUUCUGAGAAUAACUUUCUGUCACUAGAAAGGGAUAGUUAAGGGAAUAAAAAAUUUAUGAACUUAACAAGCCUGAUCAGUUUAGCAUGGGAAUUUCCUUAACUACAUCCUUGGUGAGUGGUAUGCUCCAUCCCUUAGCAGGUCACUACAGCUGUUGCAGUAAUCACUCAAUGAAGCUAAUGCUUCUGCUUCCUGUCAACCUCAUUCAAAGAUUCAGACAGCAGAGCGCCACCUUUCAGGGCUUUUCAUGAUAAAAGAAUGAGAAAUGAAAAAGUCAAAUAACAGCUUAACCAAAGAUCUGGGAGACUUGAAAUUCCAAGAGGACCCCACCCUGACCCCCAACUGAAGCCCCCAGAGAUGGAGAACACAAUGUUUAAAUUUCUGGUACCACAAUCCGAAUCCAGAAUGAGUUGUCAGAAAAGUAAGUGAAGUCCCUUUGGGGUCUUGCUGUGGUUACAGAGAUUUCAACCUAAAAGGUAACUGGAGGCACACUGAGUGAGUGUGAGAACUGAGCAUAUUUAAGUCAAAAUGACGAUAGUCACCCAGAGAAAAAGCAUAAAUCCUAACUGCCAAGAAUAAAAGAAUAAGUGCUCUCAAAAUAGGGUCUGAAGGUCUGGGGGUUUAUAGAUUGAAAGAAGACAAAGGAGAAGAACAAGACUGAGAAGAAGAAAAAAAAGAAGAAAAUUACAAUGAACUGAUUCUUACAAAUGCCCUGUUCAAAAAGAGGAGCACAGGGUGUUGGUAUG